This 943-nucleotide ribosomal RNA is filed under the name uncultured bacterium. RNAcentral's name for it is "bacterial SSU rRNA". It matches the Rfam family "Bacterial small subunit ribosomal RNA", at positions 8 to 956 of the family's 1533-position model. The record is from RNAcentral.
AGAGUUUGAUCAUGGCUCAGAACGAACGCUGGCGGCGCGCCUAAUACAUGCAAGUCGAACGAGAAUGUGUAGCAAUACACAUGUAAAGUGGCGAACGGGUGAGGAUUACAUGGGUAACCUACCCUCGAGUGGGGAAUAACCAGCCGAAAGGUUGGCUAAUACCGCGUACGCUUCCGGAACUGCGGUUUCGGAAGGAAAGCGAUACCGUGGGUAUCGCGCUCUUGGAUGGGCUCAUGCCCUAUCAGCUUGUUGGUGAGGUAACGGCUCACCAAGGCUUCGACGGGUAGCUGAUCUGAGAGGAUGAUCAGCCACACUGGCACUGCGACACGGGCCAGACUCCUACGGGAGGCAGCAGUAAGGAAUAUUGCGCAAUGGGCGAAAGCCUGACGCAGCGACGCCGCGUGGGGGAUGAAGGUCUUCGGAUUGUAAACCCCUUUCGGGAGGGAAGAUGGGAUGGGGUAACCCAUUCGGACGGUACCUCCAGAAGCAGCCACGGCUAACUUCGUGCCAGCAGCCGCGGUAAUACGAAGGUGGCAAGCGUUGUUCGGAUUUACUGGGCGUACAGGGAGCGUAGGCGGUUGGAUAAGCCCUCCGUGAAAUCUCCAGGCUUAACCUGGAAAGUGCAGAGGGGACUGUUCAGCUAGAGGAUGGGAGAGGAGCGCGGAAUUCCCGGUGUAGCGGUGAAAUGCGUAGAGAUCGGGAGGAAAGGCCGGUGGCGAAAGCGGCGUUCUGGAACAUUUCUGACGCUGAGCUCGAAAGCGUGGGGAGCAAACAGGAUUAGAUACCCUGGUAGUCCACGCCUUAACGAUGGAUACUAAGUGUCGGCGGGUUACCGCCGUGCCGCAGCUAACGCAGUAAGUAUCCCGCUGGGAAGUACGCCGCAGUGAAACUCAAGGAUUGACGGGGCCCGCACAGCGGUGGGAGCAUGUGGUUUAAUUCGACG